This 73-nucleotide transfer RNA is filed under the name Octopus bimaculoides (California two-spot octopus). RNAcentral's name for it is "transfer RNA arginine (anticodon ACG)". It matches the Rfam family "tRNA". From Rfam's summary of the family: Transfer RNA (tRNA) molecules are approximately 80 nucleotides in length. Their secondary structure includes four short double-helical elements and three loops (D, anti-codon, and T loops). The record is from RNAcentral. Lineage: Eukaryota; Metazoa; Mollusca; Cephalopoda; Octopoda; Octopodidae.
GGGCUUGUGGCGCAAUGGAUAACGCGUCUGACUACGGAUCAGAAGAUUCUAGGUUCGAAUCCUCGCAAGCUCG